Non-coding RNA from Coffea arabica (coffee), 661 nucleotides. Lineage: Eukaryota; Viridiplantae; Streptophyta; Magnoliopsida; Gentianales; Rubiaceae. The record is from RefSeq and is a predicted model, not a curated record.
GGGUUCUAAAACACGUGGUUAGCUUUGCUCCUUUUUUUCCCCUUUCUUUUGCCUUGUAUUCUUCCUUUUUUUGACAUAUUUGUAUCUUGAUUUUGCUAUUGGCCAAAAAGCAUUAAAAAGGAUUUAAUAAAUUUUAGAAAGUUUCUUUGAACUUUUCCCGAUCUAAUGCCUUUAUAAGAAAUUGUAUCUUGAUUUUGCUCUUUCCCAAAAAAACAUUAAAAAGGAUUUACUAACAAAUUUUAUAAGUUUUUUGGACCCACGUAGUAGUUCCAGAAACCCUAUCUCGACAUCAUCUCCUUCAAAUCCCAAAGGGUUGCCGUCUCUUCUCUCGCCGAUCCCUUCUCGCUCUCCAAAACAAGGAGUAUGGUUGGAAGAAUUAAAUCCAAAAACAAGGAAAUCUGAUUUUCUGUCCAUGCUUUCUUGAGAGACCGAGGCUGUCAAGAGAAGAUCAUUAUCAAGAAAAAUUGGGUAAUGCUUUGUUUUGUAUCAGUCAGUCUAAGCCCAAGCUUUGGGCUUUUAGCAUAGUUCAGCUUUGGACAGUUAUGUAGGAAGCAGAAUCGGCCAUCCUUGAAGCAUUAUCAAGAUCAAAGCCUGGAAGCGUAUGACCCUGGAUACUAGAUUUUGCACUAACAGUAGCUAUGUGAUCUCUGUAUUACCUACU